Molecule: ribosomal RNA, 466 nt
Filed under: uncultured bacterium
Lineage: Bacteria
Description: partial 16S ribosomal RNA
Rfam family: Bacterial small subunit ribosomal RNA
Source: RNAcentral
GAUGAACGCUGGCGGCGUGCUUAACACAUGCAAGUCGAACGACGAAGCCCAGCUUGCUGGGUGGGGUAGUUGCGAACGGGGGAGUAACACAUGAGUAACCUGCCCUCUACUCUGGGAUAAGCGCUGGAGACGGCGUCUGAUACCGGGUACGAGCUUCCACCACAUGGUGAGUUGCUGGAAAGAAUUUCGGUAAAGUAUGGACUCGCGGCCUAUCAGGUAGUUUGUGAGGUACCGGCUCACCAAGCCGACGACGGGUAGCCGGCCUGAGCGGGUGACCGGCCACACUGGGACUGAGACACGGCCCAGCCUCCUACGGGAGGCAGCAGUGGGGAAUAUUGCCCAAUGGGCGCAAGCCUGAUGCAGCAACGCCGCGGGAGGGACGAAGGCCUUCGGGUCGUAAACCUCUUUUAGCAGGGAAGAAGCGAAAGUGACGGUACCUGCAGAAAAAGCACCGGCUAACUACGUG